GACGAACGCUGGCGGCGUGCUUAACACAUGCAAGUCGAGCGGUAAGGCCCUUUCGGGGGUACACGAGCGGCGAACGGGUGAGUAACACGUGGGUGACCUGCCCUCAGCUCUGGGAUAAGCCUGGGAAACCGGGUCUAAUACCGGAUAUGACUCCAUGACGCAUGUUGUGGGGUGGAAAGCCUUGUGCGGCUGAGGAUGGGCCCGCGGCCUAUCAGCUUGUUGGUGGGGUGAUGGCCUACCAAGGCGACGACGGGUAGCCGGCCUGAGAGGGCGACCGGCCACACUGGGACUGAGACACGGCCCAGACUCCUACGGGAGGCAGCAGUGGGGAAUUUUGGACAAUGGGCGCAAGCCUGAUCCAGCCAUGCCGCGUGCGGGAUGAAGGCCUCGGUUGUAA
RNAcentral lists this ribosomal RNA (397 nucleotides) under uncultured bacterium. RNAcentral describes it as "bacterial SSU rRNA". It matches the Rfam family "Bacterial small subunit ribosomal RNA", at positions 28 to 428 of the family's 1533-position model. The record is from RNAcentral.